Long non-coding RNA from Coccinella septempunctata (seven-spotted ladybird), 515 nucleotides. RefSeq lists it as uncharacterized. The record is from RefSeq and is a predicted model, not a curated record. Lineage: Eukaryota; Metazoa; Arthropoda; Insecta; Coleoptera; Coccinellidae. The transcript has 2 exons.
AGCCUCCUGCAAUAAUUAACACUUGUCACCAUUUACCCAAUUUAUUGACCACCGACUAUAAUUGUCCUUCUCUUUAUAUGUGUAUGUCCAAAAUUAUUUGACUCUUUGAUUGUGUGAGAUAUGUACUUAAGGAUUAAGUUGCGCAUUGAAGAUGUUAUUUGACGAUUGUUCACACUGUAAAUAUAAUAAGUAAGUAUAAUUAGAUGUGUAAAAUGUUUUUGAACACGAUCAAUAAUUGUCAGUCAUCUAUCUUCAGUUGACGUGUGCCAAUAUCGUUCAAUGUGUAGUUAUUAAUAUGUUUUGGAUGUUAGAGAGGAAAGAUAUUUUUAGUGUUUUUAAAUUUCCAUCAUAACUACAGCAAGUUUUGUUGAUGAUCGAAACAGGUUGACGAUCAUAUAUAUGUUUUUUUUAUUUCAAAUAAUUCAAAUGAAUUAGUCAUGAUUAAGGACAACCCAAUUGUUUUGUAUGUGAUCAAACAAUAAAUGUCCGAAACGUCGACAAAAUUCAACUGGGCU